This 494-nucleotide ribosomal RNA is filed under the name uncultured bacterium. RNAcentral describes it as "partial 16S ribosomal RNA". It matches the Rfam family "Bacterial small subunit ribosomal RNA", at positions 28 to 507 of the family's 1533-position model. The record is from RNAcentral.
GACGAACGCUGGCGGCGCGCUUAACACAUGCAAGUCGAACGGAAAGGCCUGCUUUCCCUUGUGGAUUGCGGGUACUCGAGUGGCGAACGGGUGAGUAACACGUGAGUGAUCUGCCCCCAACUUGGGUAUAAGCCUGGGAAACUGGGUCUAAUUCCCGAUAGGACUGCAGGGUGGUGCCUGUGGUGGAAAACGAUUUUCUAGUGGUUGGGGAUGAGCUCGCGGCCUAUCAGCUUGUUGGUGGGGUAAUGGCCUACCAAGGCGGCGACGGGUAGCCGGCCUGUGAGGGUGGACGGCCACAUUGGGACUGAGAUACGGCCCAGACUCCUACGGGAGGCAGCAGUGGGGAAUAUUGCACAAUGGGCGGAAGCCUGAGGCAGCGACGCCGCGUGGGGGAUGACGGCCUUCGGGUUGUAAACUCCUUUCGACCGCGAGGAAGCCACCUGGUUGGAAGGGUGGUGACGGUAGUGGUAGAAGAAGCACCGGCUAACUACGUG